This 428-nucleotide ribosomal RNA is filed under the name uncultured bacterium. Its description in RNAcentral is "partial 16S ribosomal RNA". It matches the Rfam family "Bacterial small subunit ribosomal RNA", at positions 354 to 796 of the family's 1533-position model. The record is from RNAcentral.
GUGGGGGAUAUUGCACAAUGGAGGAAACUCUGAUGCAGCGACGCCGCGUGAGGGAAGAAGGUCUUCGGAUUGUAAACCUCUGUCUUCAGGGACGAAACAAAUGACGGUACCUGAGGAGGAAGCCACGGCUAACUACGUGCCAGCAGCCGCGGUAAUACGUAGGUGGCAAGCGUUGUCCGGAAUUACUGGGUGUAAAGGGAGCGCAGGCGGGGAAGCAAGUUGGGAGUGAAAUCUAUGGGCUUAACCCAUAAAUUGCUUUCAAAACUGUUUUUCUUGAGUAGUGCAGAGGUAGGCGGAAUUCCCGGUGUAGCGGUGGAAUGCGUAGAUAUCGGGAGGAACACCAGUGGCGAAGGCGGCCUACUGGGCACCAACUGACGCUGAGGCUCGAAAGUAUGGGUAGCAAACAGGAUUAGAAACCCCGGUAGUCC